This 71-nucleotide transfer RNA is filed under the name Procavia capensis (Cape rock hyrax). Its description in RNAcentral is "tRNA-Gly (TCC) (tRNA-Gly-TCC-11-1, tRNA-Gly-TCC-11-2)". It matches the Rfam family "tRNA". Rfam says of the family: Transfer RNA (tRNA) molecules are approximately 80 nucleotides in length. Their secondary structure includes four short double-helical elements and three loops (D, anti-codon, and T loops). Further hydrogen bonds mediate the characteristic L-shaped molecular structure. tRNAs have two regions of fundamental functional importance: the anti-codon, which is responsible for specific mRNA codon recognition, and the 3' end, to which the tRNAs corresponding amino acid is attached (by aminoacyl-tRNA synthetases). tRNAs cope with the degeneracy of the genetic code in two manners: having more than one tRNA (with a specific anti-codon) for a particular amino acid; and 'wobble' base-pairing, i.e. permitting non-standard base-pairing at the 3rd anti-codon position. Lineage: Eukaryota; Metazoa; Chordata; Mammalia; Hyracoidea; Procaviidae. The record is from RNAcentral.
GCAUUGGUGGUUCAGUAGUUGAAUUUUUGCCUUCCAUGCAAGAGACCAAGGUUCGAUUCCUGGCCAAUGCA